CAUCACCUGAAGCAGAGAUCCCCUAGUGCUCUGAAUGUUUGCUGAAGACACACAAGUGCAGAUGUAGGUCUUUAGGCAGCUCUUCCAGAGUGUCUCUCUAGAGCCUUUCAUCUCCCUUUGGAGAUCUCAGAAAUCAUCAUGUUUUGUGUCUGUGAGCUCUUCACCUGCCUCAGAUCUUCAGGAUCAGAAAGAUUAGAGGCUACUGUUGGUUCCGUGUAGAAGUGGUGGGAGCUGGAACUAGAAGUCCAGUUAUGGAGAUGGAGAGAUGGAAGAAAGCACAAAAAAAAAAUGAUGGAUGACGAGGACACAAGCUGCAGCACCUCAUGAUCACAUUGCUUUCUUGGGAAAAUCCUGCUAACUCCAGUAGGAAUGCUGGCUAUCUUCCAGGGCAUAUCACCAAGGGGGGCAUGUUUAAACAAAGAAGAUGGCUGCUGCUUGGAGGACGUGCAUGCAGAGGUGAGUUGGGCUAGAUGACCUUUGAGGGUCCCUUCUGUAGAGGAAUUGUUACGUCACAGCCUGAACUGAUGACUGAGCACCUGGUGAAGGGGAGUGUCUGGCCCAGGGAGCACAGCUGCAAGCAAUUCACCUGUGCUUCCCACAUGACCAGAGCUCCCUGGGCUCAUUUAAAAGCUAGUCUCCAAAGAGUGGAUAUCUUCUGGAUGAGAGCCUCUUCUUGAGAAGGAGUGUUUUACAGCUGCUGACUCUCUUUGCUACUUGGUAGAAGUAUCUCCUGUUCUGAUGGGAGACCAUAGCAUUCCUCCAAGAUCCUGGCAUUCCUUGAGGCUGAGAAAAAAGAAAAAAACCGAUCUCCUAUUUCCACCCAGCUCCUCCCAAGAUCAAGCCCUGAGCAAAUGAUAAAGCCCAUCAGUCUCUGCGGUGGAUGUACAAAGGUUUAUGCUGCACAAUUCACAUGGAAGAGGAGAGAAGGUAGGAGUGAGAUGGCUACUUCCCACUUUGUACAAGACUUUGAAAAUGUAGCGGACUUAAUUAAAAUCAAACCUGUGGAUCUAUAGGGGAAAAGUCCACCUUUCCUCCUUUAACAAAAGAUAGCGCUCAGCCUGCAAAAUCUUCUCACUUGCACUUCAGGUUUAAGUCCCUUUGUAUGUCACAGGGGAAAUUCUUUUCCUUGAUAAUCUCCUUGCUGGCCCAUAGGUAAUUGAACAGCAGAUCCACACAGUAAACCCUUCAAAGGAAUUACAAGGAUUACACAUCUCAUAUUCACCUUGUUUCACCCUCUGCAGAUGUUGAAUGUGAGCCAUCAGUUUCUUCCUAAUCCAUGUAACUCAGAUACGUGGAGCUUUCUGUCAGAUACCUCACCCGUUUUCCUUCUUUGCCUAGCAACUGUUUCAGAACUGAACUCAACAUUUUAUACAAAAGUUAGCUCAAGAAGCAGACAGGGCUAUUCAAGAGAGAAAUGUGAGAAAUGGCUGUUCAAGAAGAAAGGGGGAAAGUAUAAAAUAGGUGUAGAGGAGAUUCUUAAGGGACUGGAGAGGGCUGUGGCUUGAUCCAUAGGCUGGUAUGUGCCAUCCCAUCUGUGGGCUAAAAGUCAGAUAAACACGAACCACUCUGCUGGCUGACAACACACCUUGAGCAAAGGACAGAAUGUGGUGACAUUCUGCAAGCAUUUAUUGGCUGUAGAUGCAAGGGAGAGCAGUGAAUUUAAUUAGUGUAGGCAUUUUACAGAGGUGAACUAAAAAGUACAUUGAUUAAAAAAAAAAAAAAAAAAAAGUGUUUCCUGAAUAGGCUAAGAAAAUAUCUCUAAGAGAUCUGUCAUUAAAGUCCCCUGGCAGCUAAGAAAAUAUGUGAUCUCCUUAGAAACUAGAGAAAAAAUGGUAUGACUAGAAGUUGGAAAAUCAUUACCUACUGAUUUUUAAGUAGAUGUAGAUCGUAAGGAACAUCUUGAAGGCAGUAUCUUCCCCAUAAACUAGCUGUCACAGGAUACAUGCACCGUAUUUAGAAACUAAUGCACCUGGAGUUGCAUCUCUGUGAGACAAUGCUGUGAGUCUGUUCGUCAGUUCACAGUAGCAUAGGAAGUCUUGCUGUUUUGAAAAACCACAGCACAGAUGAAGUCAGAGAAUAUGGGAUGUGUAACGGGAACUAAGCAUGUCACACCGUGAGAAGAACAUAAGAUCAUGAUUGGCUUUCUCUCAUUGUCUUUUUGUUUAUAGUGUCAGUCUCUACCUCUUCUCUACUCCGUAUCUGAUCCAGUUUGCCUUAAAGGUAAUUUCUUGAGGUCAGAGAAUGAUCCUUAGGAACAUCUGUGAUUCAAAUCUGACAGUAAGACAAAAAGCUCAAUACCUCAUACCAUGAUGUAUGAAAUUCUUCAACAUGGGUCAAUAAAGCUGCAUCUUAACAGAGAUUUGGUCUGCAAAUGGGUAAGAAAGAAACGAUGGAGAUAUGAUCCCUGACAUGUCACAUAGCUUGAAGGCCCGAGCAUUUUAAAAUUGAUCCACAGAAAUUCCUUGUGCUGCAGCACAAUGCUGUCAAGUGGCAGAGGAAAGAGGCAAUAGUCAGAUCAAAAAGUGUCUCGCCUAAUGUGUAAACAAAUGAGAGGAUAAUUUCCGUUGAGCACUCUGAAGUGAGCCAGAAUUAUUACAAAAAUGGAUCUAUAAACAUAAUGUUGCUGGAGUCAAUGUUUAUUUGAGUCAGUGUUUAUUGUCCUUUGAUGACUUUUCUAUCAAACGUACUCUGUUUAUAAGUAGCACUGAAGUGUUCAGUAAAUACACUGGAAACUCAUCCUGAUUAGCAAGUUGGAUUCUUUCUGGCUCCAGCAUCAUUGCCAGUAAUAGGCUCAGGGAGCAGAGCUUCAUUAAACUUCUGUUGACAAUUCAUGUAGCACAUUGAAUCCUAGCUUCCUUUUGUAUGGCUGCUUGAGCUUGGCAAGCCUAAAGGGGUCAGAAGUUCAUGAAUCUCCUCACUUGGUGAACAGGGCUCUGAUCCAUAAAAGGGAAUAUUUUGGAACAAAUAUGGCUAAGAGCAAGUUCUAAGUUCAGGUGGGAUUCAUCUUUCUUAUCUUUCACUGUUUGAAUCUCAGGUAACUUGAUAAAGGUAAUCUUCAGGCUCCCAGAGAGGGAGAAGUUAACCGACCACAAGUCAUCCUCUCUGUGUUAGACAUUUCAAUAAAUGGAUGCCAAUUUGAAGGCAUCCAUCUCUCUACUUUGACUAUAGGGAAAACUUAAGAGAUUACAUGGGAUGUAUAACUCAAAUUACUCAAAUCUGGGGAGAGAAAUCUCUUCUAAGAGCCUGCUAGAGACUGCUUCAGUGAUAACUUCUCCACUCAAAGGUCAUGCUUCAUCUAAUAGUUUCAUAACAUUCAACCUUUGCUUGUAUUACAUUCAGUCUUUACUCAUUUGGGAAGAAUGAAUCAUGCAUAGCAGAACCUGAAGCUUUCUAUUACACAUCAGCAAGGUAUUAGGUCCCAAAACAGUUUUUAUUGAAUAGCCAAAUGUCAUUAACUGUAUUGAUGGGAAAGAGUGAAGGGUGAAAAGGUAUGUACACUGAUACUGCAGUUACCUUUGUACAGUGCUAACUCCAUCAGACUGUAUAACCUUCUGUAUAACUAGCAAGAUGAAAUAUACAGCCAUAUGCAUAUCUGCUUUCAUUCAGCUGUCAGUAACAAGUAAAGGACAACUCCUUUUUACCCUUGUCCCCUGCCUUCUUUUCAUAUACUCAUGGUACACACUUUUUUUUCCUUCAGGAUGAUGAUGAAAAUUCUAGAAGCUCAAGAGAAAAUCAUCUGAAGGGCAACACAAAUCUUCACACAAAGAAUAGCCUAUGUUUUGCCUGACAGUCUCUCCUUUUUUGUAUCCUGACAGAUGAACAUGAUGCACCAUAAAAGUUGUGAACUGAAAAUGAAAACAAGACAGAAUAGAAGAGUCUGAAUUGAAGAAAACCCAGAGAUCAAUACCAUAGCGUGAUAUAACCGUGUUCAUAGAAAUAAAAACUCUUGGAACAGAAAUUAUUUAUUACUCCAGAGCAGCAUAAUUUAAAUAUGUGAAAAUAGAGCAACAUUGAAGGGGAAGAUUAGAGCCAAAUUAUGUGUCCAGAUCUGUUUAGGGGAGAAUAUUUUUGUUCCCCAGGCUGGUUGGCCAUAACUUGACAAGAUCAGGUUUGAUGAAGGUUUGUAAGGUAUCAAAAGUGAUACUAAGAGAUGUUUGUCAUGUACUUUCUGUACGUCUUAAUUUUUCUUUCUCACCUCUGGCUAUCUACAGUAACUCCCUUGAAGUUUAGGAAUACAACAUUUCCCUGCUGAGAUUAUCCUCUCCCAGACAGUACAUACAAUUUAUCCUGUUUUACCUCAUCCCUGCUAUGUCUCAUUCAUUACAUCAGAGCCUAGACUGUCUCUAACUUUUUGUUUCUUCCUUUCGAAUGCAGGACUAUUACUGAAGACGUCAGCGGAGACACAGCAAGAUAUGGAAAAAGCCCAACAGAGUAGAAUAUCCCCAAAUGGGAGAACAGCGAAAAGCAGGAAGUUAUUCUCAGAAAAAAUGCUUUGUUCAUUCAGAGAACUGUGCUGCAUUAUUGGUUUUGUCAUGGACUUUGUUGGCUCUUGACCACCUAAUCAUUUAGUGCCUCUACUUCCUCCUUAAAGUAGGAUUAUUCUUAGUAAUGGUGGUUAUUUAUAGCAGUGCUGGAGUCUGAAAAGAGUAAUUUUUUCUGCUACUGCAACUGAAGAUUCUACACAGAGGGCUACUACCUUCCUUUCUGGUUUUCAACUGGCGCUCCCAUCUCCUUCAUAAAAGAAGGAUGUGAACAGAAGAGACUAGAGAUAUUUGAAUGGCAUCAAGAGCAACUUUCUGUAGAAUUUUUGAGUUCCUAAAUGAUUUGAUACAGGCUGCAAACACAGGCCUUUCAGGAUCGUUGUCAGCAAACACCAACAAGACAGAGACUUAAUUGUAUAUUCACCCACAGAAAAUUAGUUUGAAGAUUCUGUGUCCUUUCAUCUGGUGAAGGCAUGGUCAGUGUUUAAGAAAGACAAACCCUUGCACUUUGCCUGGAGUAGGUGCCUGGUGAAGAGUAUAUGAAGCUUAAAGACACCAAUUGGAAGAGGUCAGACACGCUCCAUGUUGGCUGAGUCUUGGGCAUUUCACGGUGUCAGAAUUCUGGCUCAAGCGAAGUUCUGGUUGUGUUUUGUUAAGUUGAAGACACAGUUGUCUCAGAAUACGUUGUGUUGUUACAUACUUGAGAACUGAAAAUCCUGGUUGGAUUCAGACCUGAUCUAGACAAGCAGCUCCUCUCUUCAGAAAGACCUAAAUCCAGACACUUGAUCUAAACAUGCCUGACCUGGAAAAAAGUUUACAUGCUCAUGCGGACAUGGAUGUGUGCUCAUAGCUUUCCUAGUGUGCAGAAGAUGUGUGGGAGAACAAAGAAAAGAACGUAUCAGUCCUGCAUUUCACAGCUGAGGAAAUCCAAAUCUGAAGUCUGAAGAAUAUUAUUGAUGUGACACAUCAGACAAAUCAUAAACAUUUUCUACCCUUUACUUCCUAACUUUAUCUCAUCUUAAUGAGGACUUAAGUGAUUUUUUUACAGUGCUAAAGGAUUGGAAUUUGCUGGAGGAAUGGAAAUUGCUUGUAUAAACUGCAAUGGGUUUUGAUUUAUCUAUGUUAUCUAGUGUUAUAUGUGCAGUUUCUAUGUGCUUUGUGUUCAUGUUCUGUUACUUCAAUUUUAGCUGUAUCUCCGCCAAGAACUUGAUAUCUCAAUAAGUUCAGAUAUCCUAGGAUCUGUGAAUCCCAAAAUAAGCAGACGUUGCAGAGAGUUGUGAGUGUGGUCAGCACACUGAAAGAGCACUCACUGGGUGCUUCUUGCUGGAUUGCAAGAAGAAAAGCAGAGGUGUGCAGAAUCCUGCUUCUUCAGGUGAUAGGCAGGUGCUUAUCACACCAGAUUGUAUGCGAAAUUAUUUUGAUCCACAAACUAAAGCUAUUUCAAAAAAACUCAGUGGAAAGAAAGUUGGUAUUGUACACCUCUGCACUGACAUCCCCAGGAAGUGCUAUAGUUGGAUGGGGAUCUCAAUAAAGACAAAUUCACUUUCUGCCCUCGGGAAAGACAGGUGGGGAUCAGCCUGGAUCCAUCUACUGGUUAUUUUUAAAAAGUACAUUGCUUAGAAAGCAUGUCUUCUAUGAAUCUAUCAUCACUCUACAGUACCAGGAGGGUUUAUAUCACCUCUGGGAGUUAUUGAGAAGGGGGAAAAGGAAGGAGUGAAAUGAGUAAUGAUACAGAGUUGUGGUUGGAUGGACUUUCAGUUCCAUGAGCAGUGCUUGCAGCCUGGUCUGUUCACUGGCUGUCAACUGUAGACAAACAAAGCUUUACACGGAAAGAAGGGCUCCAUGAAGUGCCUUCCAAGUACAGCUCUCAAUCCAUCAACUUGGCUACAAGCAUAACUUAUCUCUGUGUGAGGAGUCCCACAGGUUUCUGCUCCUGGUGGUCUGGGGAGUGCCACUUUGAGUCAAUGUAAAUAACUAUACCCUUCUUAGUUUACUUUAUUAAAUAGCCAACCUAAUCUUGUGGAAUCAACUUGCAACAAGGGGUGUUACUAAGAAUGAUUUAGAUUAUCGCUGUGAUGUGAUUGUUUUCAUCUUCUUGUGUGGAUAUCCAAGUAGAAGUGAAAAAAAAAUUAUGCAUAAUAGUAAUUUAUGUGGACAGUUGGACUGGAUGAUCUUGAAGGUCUUUUCCAUCCUUGGUGAUUCUAUGAUUCCAUGAUUCUAUGAAAUUCAGAGUCAUCAGUGGUGAUAAAUUCUACCUAAGAUUUCUCAAAAAACUGGCUGAGGACCUAACUGGAUCUAUUACAUUUUUUUUUCCUAAAUAUAAGAAUAUCACUAGAAUUCCCAAAGUGUGGAUGCUUAUUAACACUGUUCCAGAGUUUAGAAAGGGCAAGUGUGAUAGCUAAGAUAAGCAUAGAGCAAUUAACCUGAUAAGGUUCCUUGGCAAAAAAAAUGAAGAAAUUGAUAGAAGAAUCAGCUGAUACAAGAUUAAGUGUGGUAAUAGAAUUAAUACUAGUCAAUAUUUUUUUCAUGGAAAAUAGAUCUUGUCGAGGAAACCUAAUUUAAUUCUUUGAUGAGAUUAUAAGUUUGGUCGAUGAGAGAAACUGCAAAGACAUAACAGACUUUUGUGUGGCAUUUCACUCAGCACCACAUUAAAUUCUUUUAACAAAAAUCUCUAUGCAGUAUCAUGAAGUGAACACUGAAUAGAUAAAAGCUGACUGUCUGACAAAUUUAAAUGCUAUCUGUUAGUAAGGAAACAUCAAUGAAUGAAAAUGUUUCUAAAUGGGUAACCAGAGGAUUCAAUAUUAAAUCCAGUUCUAUUCAACAGUUUCAUCUACUAUGUGACAGUAAAUAAUAAUAAAAUCAUAAGAGAUGAACCACUGAGCAGCAAAAAUGAUGACUUGUUAGCCACAUGGAGCAAUCAGCUUCCAUGGGAUCAGCUAGGAGUAUUCCCUGUCCAAGUCAAUUAUGUAUCCAUAUAGGAAGAGACUCAGUGUCUCAGUGUGAUCACCUCAAAGAUACACUCCAGUUAUGUGAGUUAUCUGGCUUAAUCCAGGGAUAACUGGGUGAAAUAAUAUGGCCUGUGGUAGGCAGAAGGUUGGAUAAGCUGAGAUACUGUCCCUUUCUGGUGUUAAUCUCUGUAUCUAUGAAUAUAUGAGUUUGAUACUGUGAAUAUAUUUGUUCUUGACUAACUAUGUCUACUUUGAAUUAUUAAAGCUUUCCACCUCUUCAGUGGCACGUAUUUCCAGCUGGAGAUCAGAAACAGUGGUACACACUGCAGGCAAUUGCUCAUCUGACCUGAGAAAUGGUUUACUGAUAGCGUUUGUCUGUAAGGAGUUACAGUAGAUAAUACUUGUACAGCCCAUAUCAUUUAUUAUUUCCACAGUGUUAGUGGAAUCAUUCCAAAUAUUUAUAUCAGAGCUCCAUGAUAGUUCUCAACAGCAGCAGCAAAGGCUUUAACUUGCCAAAAUAUUUUUUUGCCUUUGACAUCAAAGAGUUCAUUCCUUUCUACUACCCAGGUAGAGUAGCAAGCUGAAACUUCAUCUGCUGACUGUGCUACACAACAGUAUGCUUCUAAAGGCUGCUGCAUAGAAGUGCUAGUUUUAGCACUUCUUUUCUACUUUUAUUAGUCUUCCAUUUUGCAGUGUGCAGACUGUUAAACUUAUUUGUCCUGCUUAUAGAUUAUUAUUCCUUAUUCAACACGCUCAUAUGAAUAAUCAUUGCCAUAUUGGGUGCAUUUUUUCAGUGUCUUGAAAAGUUCCCUAUUUUAGUGUUCCCCAACCACUGUUCUUAUUUACAGACUUGAAAGGCAAAAUGUAUUCAACAGUUGAAGUAUAAUUAUUGUAAUGUCUUUGCAAGGUAUUCAACACUGUGAUCUCCAGCCCAUCAUUAAGAUAUGCAUUUAGCUUAAAUCAUGAAGUAUGUAAGAUACAGCUUCAUGCAUAGUGACUUUUUACAAAAUAUUACUAUACCAAACAUUUUUUCUUCAUACAGACUUUUAAAAAUAAUAAAUGUAUUGCCCUUAGUAAAACCCUUAGAUGUGCCAUGUGUGUGAAAUGCAUGCUUGCAGCACUGCAAACUGCUUCCCCUGGGUUGCUUGCAGUGAGUUUGAAAAUUUAAGAUGUGUGUGUUUCCUUAGUGUUUUCUGAGUCCAACAAUAUAGAAGUACUUCAUCUGAAACUCAUCUGUUUCAGCAUACUGCCUCCUGCUCUCUGAUGAUGCAUGAGAUCCUGGAGAGAGUGUGGUCUUUGAGCAGAGAUCAUCAUUUUGUUCAUGCAGAUUCCUUAGUAACUUGCUUUUUGAGUCACAGCAUUGAGGAUGCAUUUUCUCUCAUCUUACUGUCAGUUCCCUCAUUGCUGGUGUGGUUUUUACCAGUGGCUGCAUCUGCACCAUGCCUGAC
Molecule: long non-coding RNA, 8877 nt
Organism: Gallus gallus (chicken)
Lineage: Eukaryota; Metazoa; Chordata; Aves; Galliformes; Phasianidae
Source: Ensembl